GUCGAACGCGAAAGUUCCCUUCGGGGAGCGAGUAGAGUGGCGCACGGGUGAGUAACACGUAGGUAAUCUACCUUUGGAUGGGGAAUAACCCCGAGAAAUCGGGGCUAAUACCGCAUAAUGCAGCGGCACCUAAUGGUGACAGUUGUUAAAGCGGGGGAUCGAAAGACCUCGCGUCUGAAGAGGAGCCUGCGGCGGAUUAGCUAGUUGGUAAGGUAACGGCUUACCAAGGCUAUGAUCCGUAACCGGCCUGAGAGGGCGGUCGGUCACACUGACACUGACAUACGGGUCAGACUCCUACGGGAGGCAGCAGUCGGGAAUUUUGGGCAAUGGGCGAAAGCCUGACCCAGCAACGCCGCGUGAAGGAUGAAAUCCCUCGGGAUGUAAACUUCGCAAGAACAGGAAGAAUAAGUAAGAGUUAAUAUCUCUUACGAUGACGGUACUGUUUGUAAGCUCCGGCUAACUCCGUGCCAGCAGCCGCGGUAAUACGGGGGGAGCAAGCGUUGUUCGGAUUUACUGGGCGUAAAGGGCGCGUAGGCGGCCAUUGCAAGUCGGUUGUGAAAUCUCCGGGCUUAACCCGGAAAGGUCAAUCGAUACUGCAGGGCUAGAGUGCAGAAGGGGCAACUGGAAUUCUCGGUGUAGCGGUGAAAUGCGUAGAUAUCGAGAGGAACA
This 669-nucleotide ribosomal RNA is filed under the name uncultured bacterium. RNAcentral describes it as "bacterial SSU rRNA". It matches the Rfam family "Bacterial small subunit ribosomal RNA", at positions 61 to 708 of the family's 1533-position model. The record is from RNAcentral.